GAGGGUACAGCUCAAGUGGUAGAGUGCGUGCUUUGCAUGCACGAGAUCCUGGGUUCAAGCUCCAGUACCUCCU
RNAcentral lists this transfer RNA (73 nucleotides) under Camelus ferus (Wild Bactrian camel). It matches the Rfam family "tRNA". Rfam says of the family: Transfer RNA (tRNA) molecules are approximately 80 nucleotides in length. Their secondary structure includes four short double-helical elements and three loops (D, anti-codon, and T loops). The record is from Rfam by way of RNAcentral. Lineage: Eukaryota; Metazoa; Chordata; Mammalia; Artiodactyla; Camelidae.